Molecule: non-coding RNA, 996 nt
Organism: Pseudopodoces humilis (Tibetan ground-tit)
Lineage: Eukaryota; Metazoa; Chordata; Aves; Passeriformes; Paridae
Source: RefSeq, a predicted model, not a curated record
AGGUCUGCAUUUCUGAAAUUUCUCUUUAAUUGUCUUCCCCCCUCUCAUAGCAUCCCAUUUCAACAAGGGAUUCAUCAGCACAAAUUUAAAGAUGUAUCCUCUAUGAAACCCAUGGUUACCUACAGAUACAAGAGGAGAUUCUUAGGAACAAGUGAAUCAGUGGGUGGAAAUUAACCUGCAAGGGAGCUCUCCACUUCAUGAAGCAUCUGUUUUCUGAGAGUUCACAUUGUCCACAGGAAGGUUGUGCUCUCUAUCAAUGUAUCUCCACAAAGAGAUUGACAAGAGCUUGACAAGGCCCUGAAAUGUGCAAUUGCAGCCCAGAAAGCCAAAUAUAUGCUGACCUGCAUCAAAGGAAGUGUGACUGGCAAGUCCAAGAAGGGGAUUCUCGCCCUUUACGCUGCUCUCAUGAGAGCUGACCUGGAGUACUGCGUCCAGCUCUGGGGCAUACAACAGAAGGACAUGGACCUGCUGGAGUGAGUCCAGAGGAGGCCACACAGAUUAUGAGAGGGAUGGAGCACUUCUAUGAAUACAAGCUGAGACAGUUCAUAUUGUUCAGCCUGGAAAGAGAAGGCUCUGGGGAGACCUAGUUGAUGUUUUUAGGACUUAAAGGGGACAUAAAAGAAAGAGGGAAAGGGCCUUUCUACAAAUACACUAUGUAUUGUAUGUAAUGAUGGGACAGAGGGGAAUGACUUUGAACUGAGGGUAGGUUUAGACUGAAUAUUAGGAAGAAAUUUUUUCCUGUGAGGGUGCCAAAACACUGGACUGGAUUGCCCAGAGAAACUGUGAAUGCUCCGGGCCUGGAACUGUUUAAGGCCAGGUUGAGUGGAGCUUUGAGUAACCUGGUCUAGUGAUAGGUGUCCCUGCCCAUAGAUGGUGGUUGGUGUUAGUAGAACUUGGAAUUAGAUAAUCCUUCUGGUACCUUCCAUCCCAAAGUAUUGUAUGAUUCUACGAUUCUAUAAUUCUAAAAUAAAAAAUUGUUCAGUGUGUUCUCAUGGG